This 492-nucleotide ribosomal RNA is filed under the name uncultured bacterium. Its description in RNAcentral is "partial 16S ribosomal RNA". It matches the Rfam family "Bacterial small subunit ribosomal RNA", at positions 29 to 507 of the family's 1533-position model. The record is from RNAcentral.
AGUGAACGCUGGCGGUAGGCCUAACACAUGCAAGUCGAACGGCAGCACAGUAAGAGCUUGCUCUUACGGGUGGCGAGUGGCGGACGGGUGAGGAAUACAUCGGAAUCUACUUUUUCGUGGGGGAUAACGUAGGGAAACUUACGCUAAUACCGCAUACGACCUACGGGUGAAAGCAGGGGAUCUUCGGACCCUGCGCGAUUGAAUGAGCCGAUGUCGGAUUAGCUAGUUGGCGGGGUAAAGGCCCACCAAGGCGACGAUCCGUAGCUGGUCUGAGAGGGUGAUCAGCCACACUGGAACUGAGACACGGUCCAGACUCCUACGGGAGGCAGCAGUGGGGAAUAUUGGACAAUGGGCGCAAGCCUGAUCCAGCCAUACCGCGUGGGUGAAGAAGGCCUUCGGGUUGUAAAGCCCUUUUGUUGGGAAAGAAAAGCAGCAGGUUAAUACCCCGCUGUUCUGACGGUACCCAAAGAAUAAGCACCGGCUAACUUCGUG